Molecule: long non-coding RNA, 2176 nt
Organism: Corvus hawaiiensis (hawaiian crow)
Lineage: Eukaryota; Metazoa; Chordata; Aves; Passeriformes; Corvidae
Exons: 2
Source: RefSeq, a predicted model, not a curated record
UUCUGCAAAGGGGAAAGGAGUUAGUAAAUGCAAAUAUGACUCUAAUUGCAAUUAGUAGGAUAAAUUUUAGGAGAGGUUAGUUACUGAUAAACAUGCAUCCUCAUGUUAAUUGUUUAAAUAUCCUGUGCUAAGCUGGUGAUCAAUACCCUGUUUUAAUCUUAAGGUAUCUAAAAUUGCAAACAGUAAAUCUCUGGCUAGUCCGGGCUUCAAAGGGACAGAGAGCUCAUCCAAACACACACAGUAUUCAGAAUGUAAAAAAGUAAUCCUCUACCCUAACUCAAUCUAUGGUGAAAGUAUCUUCUAGGGAGCUAAGAGUCAGUGGAGACACAUGAUCGAUAGCAAAGUAGCUAAUGAUGUUGGUAUUUUACUUUUUCUUAAGGGGCUUUUAAUAAAAUAUGUGUAAAAUACUUUAGGGAGCCUGAUACAUGAAUGAGUUACAUAUUCACUGCCAGCUAAAGUAGGAAAUGUGCUAUUCAUUGAGUCAUCAGGCCAAUUUCUCUAAAAAUAUUGGAAUUCCUGCACUGAAAAAGGAUGGCAUGAAUUCAUCAACUGCCUCAUCCCCUAACUUGCCAAGCCAUUUGAGAAUCACACUGCUUCAGAUACUCCUUGCUAUGCUUUCAGAUUUUAAUUAGUAUUAUAUAUUCACAUCAAAAAGAUGUUACUCUUGCAAUGCAUAAAACUAUUUUAUACAUUUUCUUAGAGCUAAGUAUCCUGAAUGUAUCAACUCUGCCACUCCUCCCUCAUUUUGCUAAAUACAAAUGGGUUAUAGCACUAACAAAUUCUGCCUUUACAGUGGUUAUAGCUGCUGGUAACUGUUAUGGGUUGGCCAGAAACACGCCAGAGUCUCUAAACUAACAUCAUAUUUCUCUAGUGCCCCCAGCUCUCUUCAAGAUAUCAAGAGAAUCUGCAUCAUAAAUGUUUCUACUAUCCGAUAGAAUUGCUUCUUUAACAAGUCUUUCAUCACAUCUCAUAAAUUUGCAGACUGUAACAGUAAACUUCAGAGAAAACUUGUGAAAAGCUUGUAAAAAUAUGUCACCCUCCUAUUAACUUUCUCAUCACUCAGUUACUAUUUCAGCAAUGUUCUUUUACCAUGCCAGUGGUGAGUAUCAUCCCUUCUGGAAAACUGUUAUCUGUUUAAUAGCAGCUUCUUACCUUUAUUUUUUAUUAAUCCCUUUGUGUUUUUUACAGUAUUUCAGGGAUAGAAAAUAAAAGAUCAUUUCUGAAAUAUCUUUGCCUGCCUCUUCAUAUGCUUGAGUGAACUUCUGACAGUGAACUGAAAAUGGUGUUCAAAUUCAAGCUAUAUACCUGUUGAUUUCUCUCUAAUUUCCUUCUAUCUGCAGUGUCAGAUUUAGUUUAGAAUAAAACUAUACUUCUGUUCAUAAUGCCUGCAAGCUUGUGAUUAAAGCCAAUGCUAAAUUGUACUUAUAAAGUACAACCAGAUCCUGAACUGGUAAAAUAUUUGCUAAACUGACUGGUAAGCACCAUAAAUUGUCACCCUGAGCACCUGUUUGGUGAAAUAAAACCCAAGAUAUUUCUGGUUCUGCACCCAAGAUUUGAAACACACCUUGAGAGCACAUAUAGUUCUAGAGAAGAAUUAUCUGUACCUCUUGCAUUAAUAUAAUUUGCUUACAUAGUUAUCAAAAGUGUGUGUUCUAAUGUUUUACAGAUUUUACUGUAAGAACAUGUAAUUGGAAGGCGUGGAUGCUUAAUAAGUUUUUCCUUUCCCACAUACCCUGAGAAGAAAAAUUCACUAUGAGUUAAUGUGAUAAAAAUCUAUUGAAGACAAGCCACCAGGUCGGCAUAAGAAACUGCAAACAUCCCAGAACUUCAAGAAGAAAACGAAAAUAAUUUUUAAUAGAAUUCAACUGACAUCAAGCUGUGAAUGCCUAAAUACACAGCAGUUUAUUUGUGGUCCUCUGAAAAGUACUGUCUGGAGCUCAGUGUGGAAAAGUGGACAGAAGUGCUGUCUUCUCAGAAAUUUUGUCUUAUUUUGAGUGUAUGUUUGGGAAGAGGGACACAUCUUUCUGGUUAGGCAAAAAAAAGAUUGUUCUAGCAAUAUAUGUGGUUGCACAGUGGUUAUUUGGGCUUUUCAGAUAAAGAUCCAUUAUUGUUGCCACUUUAUGUAAAAGAAUACAAAGUAUUUUGAAAAAUACCAAUAAAAGUACCUUGCCAUUUC